RNAcentral lists this ribosomal RNA (253 nucleotides) under uncultured bacterium. RNAcentral's name for it is "partial 16S ribosomal RNA". It matches the Rfam family "Bacterial small subunit ribosomal RNA", at positions 524 to 776 of the family's 1533-position model. The record is from RNAcentral.
UACGAAGGGUGCAAGCGUUACUCGGAAUUACUGGGCGUAAAGCGUGCGUAGGUGGUUCGUUAAGUCUGAUGUGAAAGCCCUGGGCUCAACCUGGGAAUGGCAUUGGAAACUGGCGACCUAGAGUGCGGUAGAGGGUAGUGGAAUUCCCGGUGUAGCAGUGAAAUGCGUAGAGAUCGGGAGGAACAUCCGUGGCGAAGGCGACUACCUGGACCAGCACUGACACUGAGGCACGAAGGCCAGGGGAGCAAACGGG